This 69-nucleotide transfer RNA is filed under the name Heterocephalus glaber (naked mole-rat). It matches the Rfam family "tRNA". Rfam says of the family: Transfer RNA (tRNA) molecules are approximately 80 nucleotides in length. Their secondary structure includes four short double-helical elements and three loops (D, anti-codon, and T loops). Further hydrogen bonds mediate the characteristic L-shaped molecular structure. tRNAs have two regions of fundamental functional importance: the anti-codon, which is responsible for specific mRNA codon recognition, and the 3' end, to which the tRNAs corresponding amino acid is attached (by aminoacyl-tRNA synthetases). tRNAs cope with the degeneracy of the genetic code in two manners: having more than one tRNA (with a specific anti-codon) for a particular amino acid; and 'wobble' base-pairing, i.e. permitting non-standard base-pairing at the 3rd anti-codon position. Lineage: Eukaryota; Metazoa; Chordata; Mammalia; Rodentia; Bathyergidae. The record is from Rfam by way of RNAcentral.
GGGAAUAUAGCUCAGUGGCGCAGCACCUGUCUGUCAAGCUUGAGGCCCUGGGUUCGAUUCCCAGUACCA